UGGGGAAUCUUGGACAAUGGGGGCAACCCUGAUCCAGCCAUGCCGCGUGAGUGAUGAAGGCCUUAGGGUCGUAAAGCUCUUUCGCCUGUGAAGAUAAUGACGGUAGCAGGUAAAGAAACCCCGGCUAACUCCGUGCCAGCAGCCGCGGUAAUACGGAGGGGGUUAGCGUUGUUCGGAAUUACUGGGCGUAAAGCGCACGUAGGCGGACCAGAAAGUUGGGGGUGAAAUCCCGGGGGCUCAACCCCCGAACUGCCUCCAAAACUAUUGGUCUAGAGUUCGAGAGAGGUGAGUGGAAUUCCAAGUGUAGAGGUGAAAUUCGUAGAUAUUUGGAGGAACACCAGUGGCGAAGGCGGCUCACUGGCUCGAUACUGACGCUGAGGUGCGAAAGUGUGGGGAGCAAACAGGAUUAGAUACCCUGGUAGUCCACACCGUAAAACGAUGAAUGCCAGUCGUCGGGUAGCAUGCUAUUCGGUGACACACCUAACGGAUUAAGCA
RNAcentral lists this ribosomal RNA (495 nucleotides) under uncultured bacterium. RNAcentral describes it as "bacterial SSU rRNA". It matches the Rfam family "Bacterial small subunit ribosomal RNA", at positions 355 to 866 of the family's 1533-position model. The record is from RNAcentral.